UACAGAGGGUGCGAGCGUUGUUCGGAAUUACUGGGCGUAAAGCGCGCGCAGGCGGCCUUUUAAGUCUGGCGGUGAAAUGCCGGGGCUCAACCCCGUUGCAGGCCGCGGAUACUGGGAGGCUGGAGACGAGUAGAGGCAAGCGGAAUUCCGGGUGUAGCGGUGGAAUGCGUAGAUAUCUGGAGGAACACCGGUGGCGAAGGCGGCAUCCUGGACCGGCAUUGACGCUGAGGCGCGAAAGCCAGGGGAGCAAACGGG
RNAcentral lists this ribosomal RNA (255 nucleotides) under uncultured bacterium. RNAcentral describes it as "partial 16S ribosomal RNA". It matches the Rfam family "Bacterial small subunit ribosomal RNA", at positions 524 to 776 of the family's 1533-position model. The record is from RNAcentral.